This 238-nucleotide ribosomal RNA is filed under the name uncultured bacterium. RNAcentral's name for it is "partial 16S ribosomal RNA". It matches the Rfam family "Bacterial small subunit ribosomal RNA", at positions 96 to 334 of the family's 1533-position model. The record is from RNAcentral.
UGGUGGACGGGUGAGUAACGCGUGGGUAACCUGCCUCAUACAGGGGGAUAACAGUUAGAAAUGACUGCUAAUACCGCAUAAGACCACAGCACCGCAUGGUGCAGGGGUAAAAACUCCGGUGGUAUGAGAUGGACCCGCGUCUGAUUAGGUAGUUGGUGGGGUAACGGCCCACCAAGCCGACGAUCAGUAGCCGACCUGAGAGGGUGACCGGCCACAUUGGGACUGAGACACGGCCCAA